This 1670-nucleotide ribosomal RNA is filed under the name Nannengaella leucopus. Its description in RNAcentral is "SSU rRNA". It matches the Rfam family "Eukaryotic small subunit ribosomal RNA", at positions 63 to 1629 of the family's 1831-position model. Lineage: Eukaryota; Evosea; Eumycetozoa; Physariida; Physaraceae. The record is from RNAcentral.
GAGGAAGCAAUUCUCUCUGAAUCUGCGAACGGCUCCGCAAACCAGUUGUAAACAAAGGCAAGGGUGCCCCGAACCUUCGGGCGAGGGGCGAUACGGAUAACCCUGGUAAUUCUGAGGCUAAUACGAGAGCGUGAAACCUGGACGACCGGGAAACUGGAAGGCUGGGGGACGUGUGAUCCAAAAAGCAGUAGGGAAAGCCGGGGGAGGAUGCAUGUUCAUACCACCAUAACGAACGGUGCUUGUUGGAACCGAAAGGGAAAGGCGGGCUUCCGGGUGGGUCUUGCAAUGUGCUUCUGACCUAUCAACUAGAUGGCAGCAUAAGGGACAUGCCAUGGUUACAACGGGUACAGAGGAUAAGGGUUCGAUCCUGGAGAGUGGGCCUGAGAGAUUGCUCAUACUUCUAAGGAAGGCAGCAGGCGCGCAACGUUCCCAUUGGGCAAAGCCCGAGGGCGUUAGGGGACAUAUGAAUGCCUGCCAAUAGGUGGGCAAUUCAAAUGGGACUGUUCUAAACAGCCUAUCGAGUAACAAUUAGAGGACAAGUCUGGUGCCAGCACCCGCGGUAAUUCCAGCUCUAAUAGCAUACGUUAAAGUUGUUGCGGUUAAAACGCUCGUAGUCGGCUUAAGAUCUUCAGAACUCCUGGUCGGGAAUCGGGUCUGCUACCCCCAAGGGUGCGCCGAGGUACUGGCUGGUUGGGACGUUGGUCAACCGCAUUCCUGGUCGUCUCCUCCGGGGGUCACAGGGCGUGAAAGGGGGGUCCGCUUCCCAAGAUCGUUCGGCUGGGGUGCCAUUCACUAUGACUAAACUGGGGUGAUCAAAGCAGGUCUUUCGACACGUACAGCGCAGCAUAGGACGGGUUUGUGCCUCCUUUCCGCCUUCGCUGCGGGCGGUUGGGGGGUAAAAGCGAUAGGGGUGUUCGAGGGUGACCGAAUUGCUGGGCGAGUGGUGAAAUACGUUGACCCUAGCAAGUCGACCAAAGGCGAAAGCAGUCAUCAAGGGCACGCCCGUUGAUCAAGAGCGAAAGUUAAGGGUUCGAAGACGAUCAGAUACCGUCGUAGUCUUAACUAUAAAUGAUGCAAACCAGGGAUAGGACACUGUCCAUCUCGACUCCUCCUGGAUCUUAGGGAAAUCAGAGUCUUUGGGUUCUGGGGGGAGUAUGGUCGCAAGGCUGAAACUUAAAGGAAUUGACGGAAGGGCACACAAAGAGUGGAACCUGCGGCUUAAUUUGACUCAACACGGGAAAACUCACCAGGUCCGGAUACACGUAUGAAAGUCAAGCUGAAAGACUUUACUCAAUGAUGUAAGUGGUGGUGCAUGGUCGUUCUUAGUUCGUGGAUUGAUUCGUCUGGUCUAUUCCGAUAACGAGCGAGACCCCGGUGUUCCUAAUAGGGGUGCAAGCCAGGCGGGCCGAAAGGUUUGCCAGCAAGCGCCUGAGAUGUAUGCUUCUUAGACAAAUCAAAGCCGACAAGGUUCUUGAAAUGGGUUAAUAACAGGUCAGUCAUGCCCUUAGAUGUUCUGGGCCGCACGCGCGUUACAAUGGAAGGGAAAGAAAGUGCUCCGAAAAGGCGUUUCCUGGGCCUAACGGUCUGGGUAACCAGUAGUCCUUGCUUUGACUGGGACAGAUCAUUGCAAUUAUUGGUCUCCAACGAGGAAUUUUUAGUAAGCACGGGUC